CUUUAGAGAUCCAGUGUGCGCCCCUGCGUGACCUUCAUCACUACUGUGUGUGUGCCCUCCUCUCCUCCGCUCUCUCCUUCUAUAGUCAUCCACUCGACGGCGACCCCCCGCCCACUCGCCUGCCAAAGCCCCCCAACGCAGAAAAAUCAGUCAUACGUUGAUUGCGCUCUUUUUUUCUCGUGCGUGUGCGUGUGUGUAUGCUUGAUCGAGUGUUUCUCUCUUCCCUUCCCUUUCUUUUUCUCUCCGCCCCGAUUUCCUCCACGAACCCAUCAACGUACGCUCUCCACUUCCCCAAACCCCUUCUCGCUCGCGUUCUUUCUCUCUUUCUCUCCUUCUCUCGUCUUUGUCGCGUUACUCUUCUGCUCCCCCCACCGCCGUCUUACGAGUUCUGCUCCUUUCUCGUGUUCUGAGAAGAUACUCGCACAGGAGAGAGAGACACAUUUGGAGGACAGUCGGCAAGCGAAAAGAUACGCAUCAACGAUACACACACGCACACACACAAGAAAGAGAAACACGUUAAACAAGAACGCAACAAGCAAACUCGAACUGCGUCCCCCUCCUUCUGCCUUCGCUCUUUCUCAUCUCCUCUCUUUGGCUGUCCUUCUCGCCCCCUUCCCUCUCUUCCGUUUCAGUGACCCUCUCUCGUUUUCUGUUUACCACUGUAGCUCCCCGGCAGCAAUACAAAACCAUCUCGCCUUUUCUCUUCCUUGCUCUUCCCCUCCUCUUCCUUUUUCUUGCCGCUGCGCCGUCCAUCGCCUUCCUCCCCCACUUCGUUUCUUAUUUUCCGCCUCCUCGACGGCUGAUCGCUGACAGAACCCCCUCCCCCCACCCCCACCCAAAGGCUCUGCUAUCUCUUUGUUCCUGCCCUUUUCCAUUCACACAGACAGAGACACACAGCCAGACACACACGCACACGAGGUCACUCUACAAUUCUACUUCUUCUCUUCCUCAUCCCCCGUCCUGUCUCUCUGCUCUCUACCUUUACGUGUGCCUGUGAGCCAGCGUCUAGCGGCAGUAGUGGCGUCUGCGAGGGAGUUUCAAGGUGGUUCUCGUUCUCCGUCUCCCUCUCUGUGGGCUUGCAUGUGUGUGUGUGCGCACUUCCCACUAUCACCAACACUCCCCUCUGCCCCCCUUUCUUUCUUCGUUGCCCUCCUUCCCCUUCCUCGCUCCCCUCGCCCUCCCUCCGCGCACUUUCUUCUUUGUCUCUCUCUCUUCUUUCGAGCCCCUCCUUCCCUCCCUUCCUUCCCCCGCCGCCACUUCCCAGCUCGGAUAGAUCGCGCCUCACGUAUCUCCUCCGCCCUCUGACUUUGUGUUCUUCUCUUAUUUCUCUUUCCCUUCAUUUGGUGCUUCCUAACCCCUCCCCUGCGCGGCGACAACGGCCACUACAGGAGAACAAGCAGAGCAGCUUGCUCCCUUUGCACUGCGAUUCGGUGGAAGAGCCGUACCUCACUUACCUCGCUGCAGCGUGUCUCUCUCUCUCACUGUGCGCGCUUGUGGCCAUCAUCUGGUGAACCCUUUCCGCUCUUUUCUGUUCCUCUCUCCAGACCCACUGCACAUCGUAUUCUCCCUUCCGCCCCCCUUCAUUCGCAGCCAUGUCUGCCGGUUCGAAGAACUUCUACGCCUCGAUGGUUUUGAAGUCGAACUACCCCGAUGCCCAGCCGCCGACGGCGAUGGGGGCGCCACCGAAGAAAGGCCCCCAGCCGUAUCGCAGCCCGUGCUACAACAGCGCAUCGGCAAACCCCACCGCCGCCUCUACGCUGACGCAGCCUUUUUCGCUGCCCACGUCGCUGCAGAGCCCGCAGAUGCUGCAGGCGCACGUUCCUCGCCCGACGGUGCUCAUUCCGAUGGCCGGCCACGAGACUAUCGAAUCCUCGAAGCAGUCGGGCAAGAUAUACACCCACAACCCCUACGCCUCUACCUGCACCACCCCGUCCGCGUGCCUCUCGCAGAGCACCAGUAUGGAGAGCAGCAGCUUCACCUCGCCCUACAUCACUGCAAUGGCACCUCGCACCACUGCCAUGACGCCGCCGCACUCCAGCUGCGCCAGCACCUUCCCGGUGUACGCCGCGUCGGAGGGCAGCUGCUGUGAGGCCGGCGCGCUGGCAAACAUGCUGGAGGACCAGUUCCUUAGCGUCCUCGGCAACAUUCCCUCGACGGCGAUGUCGUCGCGUGGCCGCCAUAUUCUCCUCAACGUGCUCCGGCUGCAGCACAUGGAUAAGAUUCAGAUGAUUUACGACGAGCUUUUGCCGCAGUUUAACAUCAUCGCGAUGGACCAGCACGGCUGCCACGUGGCGCGUACGCUCAUCGAAUACAUUUCGACCCCUCAAAUGGAGGCGCUGGUGCCGUACAUAGACCCACAUGUCAUUCUGCAGAUGGCCACCACCACGCAGCACACACGCCGCGUUCUCCAGGCAAUCUUCGAGCACCACAAGUCCGAUGCGCUUAUGCCGAUCGUUGAGGUGGUGACGUCGGACUGCCAACAUCUCUCGGUCACGCAGCAGGGGUGUAUAGCGAUCAUUCGCAUCAUCGAGUACGCGAAGCCGGCACAGAAGCGGACGCUCAUCAGCGCCCUUGUGCCGCUCCUCUCGACACUGGCUAAGAAUCAGUUCGGCAACUACGUGGUGCAGUGCAUCCUCAAGAACAUGGAGGGGUACGUCUCGCUGAACGACUUGGUUGCAAGCUUCCAGGGGCACUGGGUGGAGCUGUCGUGUGACAAGUACAGCUCCAACGUGAUGGAGAAGAUUGUCGGGAUGCUUCAGGGGAGCUUGCGCCAGCGCAUUGUGAAUGAGCUCAUCUUCGAUGUCGCGCACCUCCAGUGCCUCAUGCAGAACAGCUUCGGCAACUACGUCCUGCAGGCUGUGAUUGGCAGCGCGGUGAACCAGUACGAGUAUGGGCUGAUUUACGACGCCGUCACGCCGCUUUUGCACACGAGUCCGUACGGGCACCGGAUCGAGGCGAAGCUGAAGAGUCGCUGUGACGCUCUCUACAGCAAGUCGGCCCCGGCAGGCACCACUCCAGUGGAUGCCAUGAACAAGUAGAGAACGGCAAAUGGCUUCCUCCCUCUUAGCCCCGUCUCUUUCGUGUCCCCCCCCCUGCGCACAACAGUAAGAGAGGGAGUGCAAGUGAAGGAGCGACGCGGGAAAGGAAGCUGCAUAUUUGAUAGCAACGAAAGAAAAGAAACGCAUCACACGCGAGUCGUUCGAGUCGUGAGUGCAAACGGUGGCUGACACCAACGAAAGCAAGCGGGCCUUCCGUGUAGUCGCUGCGUGUGUGUCCGUGUCGACCCCUCCCCCAUGAUGAGACGCGACGUUUAUGCACUUCUUUACGAGUGCUUGCGUUUAGGCGCGGAUUUGCGUGCUUGUGUAUGUAUAUAUAGGUGUUAACGCAGUGACGAGUUCCUUGGCGACGAUGAUGGUAGUGACGGAUGGCCCCCUUUCUUCUUUUUUCUUGUCUCUUCUCUCGAUUCCACCGCCCUUCUCUUGUACAAUGGUUUCUCGUUGAUCUCUUCCCUUCUUUGCUACGAUGUGCGUGUGUUUGUGCUUCCAACAACGCAUGUUUUCCUCUCCUCUGUUUCUCCUCGUUUCAUUUGCCUUCACGCCAUCUUUUCUCUGCUCCUCUUCUCUUCGCCGCAGCCGCCUCUGUCCAGCUCCCCCCCUCCCGCUCUCCUCUGGAUCGCCGACACGCACACGCGAGCCCCACUUCCGAUACGUCUUAUCUCUCUACCCCUCUUCCUCAGAUAAACGGGCGGUGACCGAAUAAGGGAGGGAGGGUACGAGGCGAUUGACGCUGGUGGCGAGUGUUUCCGAGGGAGCGCCGCAACUCUGUUCCUCCUCCGCACCCCCAUCCUCUGUUUACCUGCUCUGCCUGCACUGUUGCCCCCUCUCCCCCCGCUCGCGUGCUCCGCACCACUUGCCCCUUCUGUCUUCUUUUUCGUUCCUGUAUUUGUGUCAGCCUUUGACGACGUGGGGACACCUCAGCGCGUGGUGUCUCAAUGUCUAGUGAUGCCACGCUCUGUGUGGAGAGAAGCCGGAGCAGCCCCUCCUCUUCUUAUCCCCUGCUAGUGCCGAGCUAUCUGUGGUGGUGACAGGGUCAAGUGCCUACAACGGAGGGUGCGAUCAGAGCGAUGUAUCGCUGCUGAUGUCGGCGAUCAGACCGUGGAUGGCGCUGCGCGAGAGCGACCUGCGACAGUGAACGCGUCUGCACCAGCCGUAGAUUAGGCGGAAUGCCAACGUGGCGCGAACGCCUCACACCCGGCCCUCUCGCGCUGCCCGCUGGUGUGGGGAGCCUGGGCCGCCGUGAGGGGGACGCACCAGGGGUGGCGACCGGCGUGAUGUGGGAGCGGCUGUGGGGCGACCUGCGGAGCGGGUGGUGGGUAGAGUGUGCUGCCCAGGCCCUGCUCCAGUAGCGGAGUUGGCGCAUGGCUGUAAAACACGCAUCUAGGGCUGCUUGGCAGCGCACGAUGGGGCCAGUGGCAGGCUGAGGGGGGAGGGGGUCGCGUGGGGUUGAGUUCGCGUUCUAUGACAGAGAGCGGCCACGAAGGAGAAAAGCCUCCAUCAUCAUCUCUUCACACCCCUUUCGCUCGCUUCCCUUUCUGUUUCCCCUUAUCUCCUCCUUCCUCUCGGACCGGUAGCUCACCCGCGCUAGCGGCCGCAACGCCGGUGACGCCGUCAGCGGGGCUUCAGCGUCGAGUGUACGUGGCUGGUAAGCCACAAUGUUUGCCUUUGUCGGUGCCUGUCGGAGUGCCCGUGCACGGACACAAGCGCACACGUCUCCACGCCUGUGAUGUUUUCUCUCUCUGUAUGCGCUUGCUGAUUUGUGUGGUUCUCCUUCUCGAUCCCCCCGUCUAGGCGGGUUUUGCCCUCUGCCCCGAUUUUCUGAUGUGCGCCUCGGCUUUCUUGCCUUUGUUCCCCUUCUCAUAAAUGGCUCUCGUGCUCGCUCCUCUCUCUCUGUGUGCGCGUCUCUGCGUGCAUUCUUCCCGGAAGCUUUAGGUACGCGGGAUGUCAAUCACCUGCGUGUCGCUCACAGUGUUGGACGGCGUCUGUAGGUCGCUGUUGCUGAAACUUUUUUCUGUGUUGUGUGCUGCUGCAUCGUUCCUGCUCGGCAUUUCGGCAUGUUCUCAUGUUUUUCCCUUCUACCCCCGUCCCCUGCUUACGAGCGCGCUGGCACACACACCGCCACCUUGCCCUUUCCUUCCUUGCCCGAGCUAUCCUCUAACGACGUAGUUGAAACGGGAGCGGGGGGAGAAAAAGAAGCAAGAUGGGGAGAGAAGGCACUCAGCGACUCAAUAGAGAACGUGUCUGGUGCCAUACAUAUACCCCGUCCUGACGUACGGAGGCGGCUGUCCUCGACGGUUGCUGUCACGUGCGCGUGUUAAAGGGUAGAGGUUGGGCUGUGUGCCGGGGGGUGUAAGCAAGGGAAUCGCCAACGCUAUUGCGAGGAAGGCCUGCCAUGUGAAACACUUAGUGGUGAAUAUGGGUUUUAAGCAUAGUUGUUUCUUGUGUGCAUCUGCGGCGAGACGCGAUAGCAAAAAGGCGACGAUGUGCCGACAUGCUUGUGCACCUGCACUCGCACACAUCCGGACGCGCGCGUUUUCGUGCCGUAGCUGUAAGAGCGCAUUCCCAUGUUGCUUCGCUUUUUCUUUGUUUCACUUGGGCGUUACGUGUGGGCCGAAGCCGCAAUCUUCUCGUUGCUGAUGUUGAGCACGUGGGUCUUGGUCUCUGAAGGAGAUUGAGGCACCCAACGGUGCAUGUACGUGCGCGUGUAGCGUCUUGUCGGUGUGCAAACACACAGGCAGACACAUGCUGACGCAGGACUGCGAGGCUUGUGGUGGUACGCGCGCCUGCGUUUGCAUACGCUGAUUGUGUCCUUUUUCUUCUGGGCUUUCUCCUUUUCACCUUUUCACUCUCUUCUUUAGCCGGCGGUCAGUCGCACGUCGCGUUGUUUUCACGCUGGUGUUGCCCAUUCUCAGCCUUCUCCUUAUCAGCGUCCCCCAUGUCCGAUUCUCUCUCUGCUCUCUCUCCUCUAUGGGUGCUGCUCGCUCGCGUCUUUUCGUCUCUUGAUAGCCCCAUUCGGCCCUCUCUUCUCCUACUUCAGUCCCUGUCUCCCAAGAGAGCGCACAUAGUAGUAGCGCACCCUCCAGUACGUGUGUGCGUGCGCCUAUGGAGAAGUGUGUGGAGAUUUGAGUGAUAGACACACAGAAACGGACAGUAAAGGAGUAGAAUCUGACCUUCUUCCCCGCACUCGCGCAAGCACACCGCGGUGACGAUGCGUUGAAGAGAAGAACCAUAGACGUGCGAGGAGUCUUUGUUUUUCUCAGGUGCCGAGAAUGUGGGGUCCUGAGGAGGACAUGGAUGUUGUUAUCCUUCCCCCUUUUUGCUUUCUUGGUCUAUCCAGGCGCCCACAGACAUAUAUGCGUGCACCACGGAGAAGACGGAUGGGGCAGCCAGAGACUGUUGAGUCGCUCGGCUUGGGCACACGCACGUGUGCGGCAGUGCGUGAGACAUGAACGAGUUGGCUGUCUUCUGUGCUUCUAUGUGGGUGCGUAUGGGCAUGCCCCUUCAUGUGUCUCGCUGGGGUGGUACUCUGGAUUAGCAGCGGAAUUCAGUACAGUAAGAACGACUACGCUGGGCGCCAAUCAAAAAAUUACGAGCAGAACGUGAAGCAGUGACACAAUGUGGAAAAUGCCCGUACGAGGGAGCGAGGUGGCUGCGGUAGUGCCGUAGGUGGGUUACUCAGAGUAACGACAAGUGCGGCGUAUUGCGUAGCAUGCGCGAGGACAGGAUACACACGCGCAGGGGAAGACGAAAAAGGAAGUGGGGGAUGCAUAUCAAAAUGGUGGGCAGAUGCUUGUCUCUUUUUCCAUGAGCAGGAACUCACCGCUCAACAGCCCGC
This 6891-nucleotide unclassified non-coding RNA is filed under the name Leishmania donovani. RNAcentral's name for it is "gene:LdHU3.06.0080(CDS-product:pumilio/PUF_RNA_bi nding_protein_5_putative)". Lineage: Eukaryota; Euglenozoa; Kinetoplastea; Trypanosomatida; Trypanosomatidae. The record is from RNAcentral.